GUGGGGAAUAUUGGACAAUGGGGGGAACCCUGAUCCAGCCAUGCCGCGUGUGUGAAGAAGGCCUUUUGGUUGUAAAGCACUUUAAGCGAGGAGGAGGCGCUCUAGGCUAAUACCCUAGAUGCGUGGACGUUACUCGCAGAAUAAGCACCGGCUAACUCUGUGCCAGCAGCCGCGGUAAUACAGAGGGUGCGAGCGUUAAUCGGAUUUACUGGGCGUAAAGCGCGCGUAGGUGGCUAAUUAAGUCAAAUGUGAAAUCCCCGAGCUUAACUUGGGAAUUGCAUUCGAUACUGGUUAGCUAGAGUAUGGGAGAGGAUGGUAGAAUUCCAGGUGUAGCGGUGAAAUGCGUAGAGAUCUGGAGGAAUACCGAUGGCGAAGGCAGCCAUCUGGCCUAAUACUGACACUGAGGUGCGAAAGCAUGGGGAGCAA
Molecule: ribosomal RNA, 426 nt
Filed under: uncultured Acinetobacter sp.
Lineage: Bacteria; Pseudomonadati; Pseudomonadota; Gammaproteobacteria; Moraxellales; Moraxellaceae
Description: bacterial SSU rRNA
Rfam family: Bacterial small subunit ribosomal RNA
Source: RNAcentral